CCUCUUUCGAGCCUUCGGUUCAAGCAGAUGUCAGGCAAGGCUCUGUACUCGUUGACCUGAGGAAUAACCCCUCGCCUCCGUUUAGCUGUACUAGGAGCAAGGUUCGAAUCUCUGCUAAGACAGGAGGCUUCCUGGCUCUUCUGCAAUGAGGACAGGGGUAGCAGGAGGGAUGACCCAGGGGCCCAUUUUCACUUCUUGUCCCUGGGCCCUCUCCAACCUUGCUAUGCCCCUACUGAUGGGCCGCUAUGCCCCUACUCAAGAAAGGAGGCAGCCAGGCGAGUGAGUUCUUGUCCUCAGCUCCUGAAAAGACCAACAACCUGAGACGUAUUAAUCUUAUGUAAUUUCCUUGUUUUAAUAUUGUAAACCGCUUUGGAUGCCUUUGUCAAGGCAGAUAGGAGGUAUAAAAUGCAAUAAAUAAUAAAUAACUCCA
Molecule: long non-coding RNA, 430 nt
Organism: Hemicordylus capensis (graceful crag lizard)
Lineage: Eukaryota; Metazoa; Chordata; Lepidosauria; Squamata; Cordylidae
Exons: 2
Source: RefSeq, a predicted model, not a curated record